This 330-nucleotide ribosomal RNA is filed under the name uncultured bacterium. RNAcentral describes it as "bacterial SSU rRNA". It matches the Rfam family "Bacterial small subunit ribosomal RNA", at positions 568 to 898 of the family's 1533-position model. The record is from RNAcentral.
UGUGUAGGCGGUUGCUUAAGUUUGGUGUGAAAUCUCCCGGCUCAACUGGGAGGGUGCGCCGAAUACUGAGUGACUAGAGUGCGGGAGAGGAGAGUGGAAUUCCUGGUGUAGCGGUGAAAUGCGUAGAUAUCAGGAGGAACACCGGUGGUGUAGACGGCUCUCUGGACCGUAACUGACGCUGAGACACGAAAGCGUGGGUAGCAAACAGGAUUAGAUACCCUGGUAGUCCACGCCCUAAACGAUGCGUAUUUGGUGUGGGCAGUUCAGUCUGUCCGUGCCGGAGCUAACGCGUUAAAUAUGCCGCCUGGGGAGUACAGUCGCAAGGCUGAA